GGGGGUAUAGCUCAGUUGGUAGAGCACCGCCUUUGCACGGCGGGGGUCAGUGGUUCGAGCCCGCUUACCUCCA
This 73-nucleotide transfer RNA is filed under the name Helicotheca tamesis. RNAcentral describes it as "tRNA-Ala". It matches the Rfam family "tRNA". From Rfam's summary of the family: Transfer RNA (tRNA) molecules are approximately 80 nucleotides in length. Their secondary structure includes four short double-helical elements and three loops (D, anti-codon, and T loops). The record is from RNAcentral. Lineage: Eukaryota; Bacillariophyta; Thalassiosirophyceae; Lithodesmiales; Lithodesmiaceae.